GACCUGGUGGCGUAACGGUAAGCGCGCGCAUUGUCGGUUCCUCGCAAUAUUGUACUAUACUGCGAGUCCCUCGUUCGAAUCGGGGUCAGGUCG
Non-coding RNA from Mycena alexandri, 93 nucleotides. Lineage: Eukaryota; Fungi; Basidiomycota; Agaricomycetes; Agaricales; Mycenaceae. The record is from the annotation of a GenBank genome assembly.